This 425-nucleotide unclassified non-coding RNA is filed under the name Hevea brasiliensis (rubber tree). Lineage: Eukaryota; Viridiplantae; Streptophyta; Magnoliopsida; Malpighiales; Euphorbiaceae. The record is from RNAcentral.
GAGUCUACGACUCUUAACUGAUAACAUGUCUCAAAACGAACCAAAACCCAUAUUUGGAAUGUCUACGCGCAGUGAUCUGCAUAAAUACGAAUCCAAAAGCUCCCAAAACAACAGCAUAAAGAGACUUAGUAGAUGGUGCAAUGCAACCAUCUAAUCCAAAUCUGAUGAAGAGGACGAUUCAGAGUAGAUGGACUCAUCAUCAGAUUCACCCUCGGUACUAUCGUCAUCCGAGGAAUAAAUUAGGUCAUCAUGGUCAUCGAUCCAAGGUUUCUGAAAGUUUACAAGAUUUUUACAUCUUGCCUCGAGAUCACCCUUCAGCUCCACAUUCCAACACCCUUGGAUUUCAAGGUGUGUUAGUGCCUUACACUGGGUGAGAAUAGCCUCAACGCCAGUAUCACUCAACCGGUUGAAAGCAUAGUCAAGGC